UACAGAGACUGCAAGCGUUAUUCGGAUUCACUGGGCGUAAAGCGUGCGCAGGCGGUUUUGUAAGACAGAUGUGAAAUCCCCGGGCUUAACCUGGGAAUGGCAUUUGGGACUGCAAGGCUUGAGUGCGGCAGAGGAGACUGGAAUUCCCGGUGUAGCAGUGAAAUGCGUAGAUAUCGGGAGGAAUACCGAUGGCGAAGGCAGGUCUCUGGGCUGACACUGACGCUCAUGCACGAAAGCGUGGGGAGCAAACAGG
This 253-nucleotide ribosomal RNA is filed under the name uncultured bacterium. RNAcentral describes it as "partial 16S ribosomal RNA". It matches the Rfam family "Bacterial small subunit ribosomal RNA", at positions 524 to 776 of the family's 1533-position model. The record is from RNAcentral.